GGGACAUCUGGAGGUGUUUAAGUGUGGUCUCUGAUAAUGAUAUUCCAGAUAAUAACUGUGAGGCCUGCUCAUCUAGUCGAACUGUAAUUCAUUGCAGUAUUUAAUAACGUUAGUUUGGUUUAACCAAAUUAAUAAAUAAAAUUCACUCAACGGGGUAUGUGUGAAAAAGUCUUAUAGUGCAUGUUAAGUAUGCAGACCUAUAUUUCAGACUUGUUAAAAGAUUGUAGUUGAAAAUUAGAUUUAAAAAUUAAAAUGUAACACAACCUAAAUUAUCAUGAAUAGUAGUGGGAAAAGUUCUUGAGGAAGUGUCUUAGUAAUUAAAAUUAGCCCUUUAAAACUAGCACUUAUGCCUGGUGGCAUGGGCCUGUAAUCCAGCUCUGGAGGCUGUGGCAGGAGGAUCGCAAGUUCAAAGCCAGCCUCAGCAAAAGGGAGGUGCUAAGCAAAUAAGUGAGACCCUGCCCCUAAAUAAAAUACAAAAUAGGUGUGGGGAUGUGGCUCAGUGGUCAAGUCCCCCUAAAUUCAAUCUCCAGUAUCGCCAUCCCCCCAAAAAUCAAGUAACACUUAUGAUUUUUAGCUGUUUUUAAUAAAAAUCUUUGUAAAAUUUUUCUUCUUUGCCAUAAAUGAGCAAAACACAAUGAAGAUAAUUAUCUUUUCUGGAUAAUUGGUGAUUGUUAUUACUAAUACUAUUAUUGCAUUUUGGUAGUAGUAGAGAAGUAGGUCAUAGCUGACUAAAAUAUAUGGAAAUUUUUAACUAAAGUGACAUUAACUGUCACACAGUACAGCCUGGCACUGCUAUUCAGCAGUCCUGGAUACUCACUUUAUGCAGUGCAAUCUCCUGCCUAACUACACAAUUUUGUGGCCUGUUCUUUUUCUUUGCACCCCUCUAGCUAAGAUUUUUUAAGGCUGUUAAGGAAAUGAAGACAUUUCUCAGAAAAAGGAAUGAUUUUGUGUUGAAUAUGUAAGUAGUAUAGGACAAAUAAAUAACUAACCAGAUUGUAGAUCAUAGAAGAUAUCUUGGAAAAUGUGAUUUACCUCUUUUCUACAGAAAUAGAUUAAGAGUUAUGUAGGGUAGGGGCUGGGGUUAUGGCUCAGCUGUAGAACACUCGCCUCGAAUGUGCAAGGCCCUGGGUUUGAUCCUUAGCACCAAAUAUCAAUAAAUAAAAUAAAGUUAUAAAAAAAAAGUUAUGUAGGGUAAUAUUACAUGACUACUUUCUCCUUUCUUAUUCUUUCUCUCUCCCUCUUUUUAAUUAAAAAAAUAAGUAUACCAGUGAAACUAGGCUUAUGUUAUUAGGUUUGAUUUAAAUCAAUUAAGCCUUCUUUUAUAUGGCCACUAUUGGAACAACUAUUGAUGAAAAAGUCAAAUAAAAUAAUGCUCUUUCAUGCCAAUGAUAAGAUAGGUUUUUAUAAUGAAAAUUGCAGUUCAAAGAUCAUAGGCAUAUUAAAUAUAUAUGUUGAAAAAAACUUCAGUUCUGGUUUAAUCUAAAUUCAUCCUGACAUGAAUGAGGCUUGGGUAUAUGCUUUCCUACAUAUACACACAUCCUGAUGGUGCU
Molecule: long non-coding RNA, 1550 nt
Filed under: Marmota monax (woodchuck)
Lineage: Eukaryota; Metazoa; Chordata; Mammalia; Rodentia; Sciuridae
Source: RNAcentral